Molecule: ribosomal RNA, 253 nt
Filed under: uncultured bacterium
Lineage: Bacteria
Description: partial 16S ribosomal RNA
Rfam family: Bacterial small subunit ribosomal RNA
Source: RNAcentral
UACGUAGGGGGCAAGCGUUGUCCGGAAUUAUUGGGCGUAAAGAGCGUGUAGGCGGCCAGAUAAGUCCGCUGUGAAAUCUCGAGGCUCAACUUCGAGCUGUCGGUGGAAACUGUCUGGCUAGAGUCCGGAAGAGGAGAAUGGAAUUCCUGGUGUAGCGGUGAAAUGCGCAGAUAUCAGGAAGAACACCCGUGGCGAAGGCGGUUCUCUGGGACGGUACUGACGCUGAGACGCGAAAGCGUGGGGAGCGAACCGG